Molecule: ribosomal RNA, 402 nt
Filed under: uncultured prokaryote
Description: bacterial SSU rRNA
Rfam family: Bacterial small subunit ribosomal RNA
Source: RNAcentral
UAAGGAAUAUUAGAAAUGGACGAAAGUCUGAUAUAGCAACACCGCGUGUGCGAAGAAGGCCUUCGGGUUGUAAAGCACUUUUUGGAAGGAAUAGGAAGGAAUGUACUUCCAGAAUAAGUCUCGGCUAACUACGUGCCAGCAGCCGCGGUAACACGUAGGAGGCGAACGUUAUCCGGAUUUACUGGGCGUAAAGCGCGCGUAGGUGGUUCUGUAAGUAGGGCGUGAAAGCUCCUGGCUCAACUGGGAGAGGCCGUUCUAAACUACAGAACUAGAGGAUGGUAGAGGGAGGUUGAAGUCCAGGUGUAGCGGUGGAAUGCGCAGAUAUCUGGAGGAACACCAGUGGCGAAGGCGGCCUCCUGGGCCAUUCCUGACACUCAGACGCGAAAGCUAAGGUAGCAAACG